GACAUUCAGCUGGAAAAGCUCUGAUUCACAUGCAAAUAAAAAUCUCCCUGAAUUCGCUGUUACAUGACGCAAGCUCCUGGCAUUGACAUAAAAGGGCAGAAUGAAAUCACCCACAAUUAAACUCACUUUGGAAUACUGGAAUUUGCUGGCUAGGCCUCCCCACAAAUGAUAAGAAAAGCCCCAACUGUAACAGAAUGAAGCUGAUUGUGUUGGAUCCCAGGGCAUUCCCGCUUGGACUGAGCCACGCCUGAGCACCCCAGUCUGGGGCUGUCUGCCAUUCUUGCUCCCUGACCUGUGUUCAGCAUCAUCUAUCUGGAAGUGGGGUUCAGAGGUCUUCCUCAGGGAGAUCUUCCCUUCUGGGUUGAGACCCUACUUUCACCCCGAACCCUUGCCCUAGUGUAAGCUGGGGACAUCUCCCAAGACUAGACAGAGCCUUCACCUGAGCUUCACAGCAUUAUCACACUCUGAUCUGAAGCCCAGGCCAGAGGCCUUCAAUGGUUCCUUAGAAUGCAUGCUCCAUCUGCCUGAGAACAAGAGAAUUCUGGAGACAGAACACUGAGAUUUUCUGGCCUUUCACUAGCUGGCCUUUCACUAGUCCCCACCCCAAGAUUCUCUGCUGAGGGCCAACCAGGGGAAUGUUCCAUGGACAGCACGUGUUCUGGAGGGGGUUUUUGAGGAGAAUGCAGCAAACUUCCCUUCUCUAAGAACACUUAAGUGUGUAAAACAGAAGUACAACUGGCACAUGGGUUUGGGAACAAACAACUCUCAACAGGCUUCCAACUGACCUGAUGGAAGGGGUGUGAGGACCCUAGAAAACAGCUGACUGGGCAGGAAACUCCAGACACGUGCUGCAUGUGCCAGCGGAGGGGGCACAGCUUGAGUGCCUCCCGCACCCCCCAAGCCCAGGGAUGACACCAGGCCACCUAAGUUCUGCCACAGUGUGUUGUUAUGCAGAGAAGUCCCAGGUCUGCUGAAGAGAAGAAGAAGUAAAGCAAGCAGAGCAGAUGAGAAAACAAACUAAGGCCCAGAGAGUUUGAUUCAUCAAUAAAUACAACUUGCUCUGAGGACUUACUUUUCUUUCCAAUAAGCGGUUGAAAGAGAAGAUAAAGGCAUCAGGAAAUAAGAGCCAAGGUUUUAUUCUGGAGGAUUGAAAGGGUGAAGCAAAGAGAGGUGAAGCUCAAGUGCAGGGGUGGAAUGAAGUAAUAGGCACCGAGAAGGAACCUGCAAGAAUCCUAAAGGGAAAGACCAAAAGAGAUUCUUUAUAACAGAAGAUAAAGCAGAAGCACAGGGGCAAGUUGGAAGCGUGGAGAAUGUAAUUGUUGGGAAAUCAAUGGAGAUCACGCUAUGGCUUUUCCCCCUAUAGUCUGCCCAAUGUGCCAAGCACACUAAUCAGCAAUGUUCUCUUUCCCUGAGGCCUGACCUGCUGCUGUGACAAUUGAGGGCCGGGGUGAGGGCACACCGAUGGAGCUGCUGCUGUCAUCCCCAGAGCCUCAUGCCACCUCCGAGUAUUCAGCACCAUCCCCGUAAGCAAUGACAGGAGGAAACUGCUAAACUAGUUGUCACCACCAGACUGCUAAUGAAAUCCAGAAAGUCUGCAAACAAAACUGCCAGCUUCCUUACAAUGAAAUGACCACCCAGGACAGUGCAAUUCAGAAGAGGAGCCCCUUCCACCGGCAACAGGUUUCUUCCAGGGUGACUUCCCCGACAGGUAUAGCUUAGAGACAAUUGGAACAAGACACUAUAAAUCCUGAUCAUG
Molecule: long non-coding RNA, 1756 nt
Organism: Talpa occidentalis (Iberian mole)
Lineage: Eukaryota; Metazoa; Chordata; Mammalia; Eulipotyphla; Talpidae
Exons: 7
Source: RefSeq, a predicted model, not a curated record